Molecule: ribosomal RNA, 1788 nt
Filed under: Triticum aestivum (bread wheat)
Lineage: Eukaryota; Viridiplantae; Streptophyta; Magnoliopsida; Poales; Poaceae
Description: partial small subunit ribosomal RNA
Source: RNAcentral
AUGACGACGGUGUCCUGCCCGGCCGGAGGAGAAGCAGAUGAGUCACCUUUGGGUUUUCUUUCUUGUAAUCUGGUCUGGUUCGAGUGUGUGUUGAGGCAAAUUAAAGCCAAGCACGUCUAUUUCAGUUGCCUCCUCCCGUUUGCUCUUCUUCUCGGACAACGGCAGCGUAUCGCCGCGCGCCUCGCUUUUCAGCUGCUCCAUCCCUGCUGCCGGCACCACCUUCAGUUGCUCUGUCCGUACAGUCGGCGCAACCAUCUUCUCCACUGGCAUACUGUCAACAAUGGUGUGGACCUACUCCUAGUGCACAAAAAACAACAUAGAACGGGGAGAAGGCUGAGGUGGUGGUGUUGGUGCGCCAGCGAGAUUAGCGGACAAGGCCGCAACAAGAUUUGUCUCCCGGAGGUUUGUGGACAAGCUCCUGGAUGGUGGCAUGCCCAGCCACCGGUCGUGUGUGGCGUUGGCGCGCGACCGAUGCCGCCAAUGCCACGCGCCGGCCGGCUCUGGCUCCUGCUCUGCAUCGCCAUUGUUGUGGUGGUGGUGGGCAUGGAAGGGCACACGCGUGGCGUGUGGCCGGGUAGGGUAGCGGGCCGGCCGUUCCCGGAGAACGCGACGCGGGCGGAGGAGCUGGAGUGGUUGUUCAUGCAGUGGGUGCGCUACGUGGGCGGCCUCAAGCACAGUACGUACCACCACGUGCAGCUGGCCCGCGUGUUCCCGUCCUACUCGCUCGUCGUCGACAAAGACCCCGCGGCUGGCAACUUCACGUCCGUCCAGGCUGCCGUCGACUCGCUCCCGACCAUCAACCUCGUCCGCGUUAUUCAUGAAUUCCGGCACCGGAGCUCAGUCCCUCCCCCUCCCCCCUCGCUCAAGGGUUCAGCCGCCGCUAGGGUUCCAGGCGCCACGACCCCUCCUCCCUCGACGACGGGCGGCCUCCUCGGAGCCCUGCCGGAGCCGGCGAGCGCGGCCCCAACGCCCCCAUGCAGCCGGCCGAAGCAGUCCUCGGAGGUAGCAGAGACCAUCAUAGGCAAGGAGGCGAUGCGCCGCUGCGCGCCGAUCGCGACGCAGGGCGUGGACACCCUCGUGUGCGUAGGAAUUGGAAAGGUGGGCCACGAGCUUCGCGCCGGUUUCCGCCUAGCCGGAAUACUGUUCCGCGUCCCUCGAUCUCUUUUUGCUCCGCCUCCGACGCUGCCGCCGGAGACCACUAAUGGCCCGUCGCGAGCCUUGAAGAUCUCGACUCGGCGACAUGCGCAGAUGAACAAGAGGUAUGGGAGGGCGGAGACCGAUCAAGAGAUGUGUCUUUUCUUGGCUAUCCGGAUUUAUUGCAUCAUUCCUUCCUGUGAUGCCUUUCCCCCAUCCAUCUCCUAUGCUAUGCCUGGAGUUAGCACAGUCUAUGAGUCAGUCCUGGAACUCCUUCUUUCUAUGUAUAGACAUAAGGAGGUUCUGCUUUCUAUUUAUAGGACGAGGAGGAAGCCAUCAAAUUGCACUUAUGCACUUGGUGCCCUUGGUGGCUUCCGCCCCGACGACGACGACGACGUCAGAGGGCUUAGACGUCACGAAUUUGUCCUCCCGGGACGCGUGAUCAUGCAAUGUAGCACCUUCAGUGCAGCCUUCCAGUCGGCUGUGUCACCGUCGUGUGUGUUGGGCAUGGGCGAGCAUGGUGAACAUGGGUCAAAGGCAGACGUGGCACGCGUGCCGGACACUGGGGCGGGGCAGCCAGCUGUCUUACUGGUCCGUUGGCAAGCGUCUCGGCUUCCUGCCGGCGAGGAGCACGGGAGGAAGAGGCGGCACUGA